RNAcentral lists this ribosomal RNA (253 nucleotides) under uncultured bacterium. Its description in RNAcentral is "partial 16S ribosomal RNA". It matches the Rfam family "Bacterial small subunit ribosomal RNA", at positions 524 to 776 of the family's 1533-position model. The record is from RNAcentral.
UACGUAGGGUGCAAGCGUUGUCCGGAAUUAUUGGGCGUAAAGGGCUCGUAGGCGGUCCAUCGCGUCGGGAGUGAAAAGCUGGGGCUUAACCCCAGUCCUGCUUUCGAUACGGGUGGACUAGAGGUAGGCAGGGGAGAACGGAAUUCCUGGUGUAGCGGUGAAAUGCGCAGAUAUCAGGAGGAACACCGGUGGCGAAGGCGGCGACCUGGGACGAUACUGACGCUGAGGUGCGAAAGCGUGGGGAGCAAACAGG